GAAUUCGCCCUUAGAGUUUGAUCCUGGCUCAGGACGAACGCUGGCGGCGCGCCUAACACAUGCAAGUCGAACGAGCGAGAGAGAGCUUGCUUUCUCGAGCGAGUGGCGAACGGGUGAGUAACGCGUGAGGAACCUGCCUCAAAGAGGGGGACAACAGUUGGAAACGACUGCUAAUACCGCAUAAGCCCACGGGUCGGCAUCGACCAGAGGGAAAAGGAGCAAUCCGCUUUGAGAUGGCCUCGCGUCCGAUUAGCUAGUUGGUGAGGUAACGGCCCACCAAGGCGACGAUCGGUAGCCGGACUGAGAGGUUGAACGGCCACAUUGGGACUGAGACACGGCCCAGACUCCUACGGGAGGCAGCAGUGGGGAAUAUUGCACAAUGGGGGAAACCCUGAUGCAGCGACGCCGCGUGGAGGAAGAAGGUCUUCGGAUUGUAAACUCCUGUUGUUGAGGAAGAUAAUGACGGUACUCAACAAGGAAGUGACGGCUAACUACGUGCCAGCAGCCGCGGUAAAACGUAGGUCACAAGCGUUGUCCGGAAUUACUGGGUGUAAAGGGAGCGCAGGCGGGAAGACAAGUUGGAAGUGAAAUCCAUGGGCUCAACCCAUGAACUGCUUUCAAAACUGUUUUUCUUGAGUAGUGCAGAGGUAGGCGGAAUUCCCCGGUGUAGCGGUGGAAUGCGUAGAUAUCGGGAGGAACACCAGUGGCGAAGGCGGCCUACUGGGCACCAACUGACGCUGAGGCUCGAAAGUGUGGGUAGCAAACAGGAUUAGAUACCCUGGUAGUCCACACCGUAAACGAUGAUUACUAGGUGUUGGAGGAUUGACCCCUUCAGUGCCGCAGUUAACACAAUAAGUAAUCCACCUGGGGAGUACGACCGCAAGGUUGAAACUCAAAGGAAUUGACGGGGGCCCGCACAAGCAGUGGAGUAUGUGGUUUAAUUCGACGCAACGCGAAGAACCUUACCAAGUCUUGACAUCCCUUGACGAUGCUGGAAACAGUAUUUCUCUUCGGAGCAAGGAGACAGGUGGUGCAUGGUUGUCGUCAGCUCGUGUCGUGAGAUGUUGGGUUAAGUCCCGCAACGAGCGCAACCCUUAUGGUCAGUUACUACGCAAGAGGACUCUGGCCAGACUGCCGUUGACAAAACGGAGGAAGGUGGGGAUGACGUCAAAUCAUCAUGCCCUUUAUGACUUGGGCUACACACGUACUACAAUGGCGUUAAACAAAGAGAAGCAAGACCGCGAGGUGGAGCAAAACUCAGAAACAACGUCCCAGUUCGGACUGCAGGCUGCAACUCGCCUGCACGAAGUCGGAAUUGCUAGUAAUCGUGGAUCAGCAUGCCACGGUGAAUACGUUCCCGGGCCUUGCACACACCGCCCGUCA
This 1383-nucleotide ribosomal RNA is filed under the name uncultured bacterium. Its description in RNAcentral is "bacterial SSU rRNA". It matches the Rfam family "Bacterial small subunit ribosomal RNA". The record is from RNAcentral.